This 808-nucleotide ribosomal RNA is filed under the name Spegazzinia tessarthra. Its description in RNAcentral is "LSU rRNA". It matches the Rfam family "Eukaryotic large subunit ribosomal RNA", at positions 83 to 909 of the family's 3401-position model. The record is from RNAcentral. Lineage: Eukaryota; Fungi; Ascomycota; Dothideomycetes; Pleosporales; Didymosphaeriaceae.
GUAACGGCGAGUGAAGCGGCAACAGCUCAAAUUUGAAAUCUGGCCUCCUCCGGGGGUCCGAGUUGUAAUUUGCAGAGGGUGCUUUGGUGGUGGCGGCGGUCUAAGUUCCCUGGAACAGGACAUCGCAGAGGGUGAGAAUCCCGUACGUGGGCGCCUGCCACCUCCGUGUAAAGCCCCUUCGACGAGUCGAGUUGUUUGGGAAUGCAGCUCUAAAUGGGAGGUAAAUUUCUUCUAAAGCUAAAUACCGGCCAGAGACCGAUAGCGCACAAGUAGAGUGAUCGAAAGAUGAAAAGUACUUUGGAAAGAGAGUAAAAUAGCACGUGAAAUUGUUGUAGAGGAAGCGCUUGCAGCCAGACUUCCCCGUAGUUGCUCACCCGGGCUCUUGCCCGGGGCACUCUUCUGCGGGGAGGCCAGCAUCAGUUUGGGCGGUCGGAGAAAGGCCUCUGUCACGUAUCUCCCUCCGGGGAGACCUUAUAGGGGAGGCGCAAUGCGACCAGCCCGGACUGAGGUCCGCGCAUCUGCCAGGAUGCUGGCGUAAUGGCUGUAAGCGGCCCGUCUUGAAACACGGACCAAGGAGUCUAACAUCUAUGCGAGUGUUUGGGUGUCAAGCCCGGGCGCGCAAUGAAAGUGAACGGAGGUGGGAACCCUCGGGUGCACCAUCGACCGAUCCUGAUGUCUUCGGAUGGAUUUGAGUAAGAGCAUAGCUGUUGGGACCCGAAAGAUGGUGAACUAUGCUUGAAUAGGGUGAAGCCAGAGGAAACUCUGGUGGAGGCUCGCAGCGGUUCUGACGUGCAAAUCGAUCGUCAAA